GAUGAAGAACGUAGCGAAAUGCGAUACUUGGUGUGAAUUGCAGAAUCCCGUGAACCAUCGAGUCUUUGAACGCAAGUUGCGCCCGAAGCCAUUAGGCCGAGGGCACGCCUGCCUGGGUGUCACACACCGUUACCCUCGCGCCAACGUCCAUCGUUGGCCGCGGCGCGGGGCGUGCGCUGACCUCCCGCGAGCGGGGUCUCGUGGUUGGUUGAAAAUCGAGUUCGCGGUCGAGGGUGCCGUGAUGAAAUGGUGGAUGGGCGACGCCCGAGGCCAAUCACGCGCGACUCUGUCCGGGUCGGACUCCUGGGCCCCUUCGGCGUCUCCGGACGCUCUUUGGCGAGACCUCAGGUCAGGCGGGGCUACCCGCUGAGUUUAAGCAUAUCAAUAAGCGGAGGA
This 396-nucleotide unclassified non-coding RNA is filed under the name soil metagenome. Its description in RNAcentral is "partial contains 5.8S ribosomal RNA, internal transcribed spacer 2, and large subunit ribosomal RNA". The stretch from base 1 to 122 matches the Rfam family "5.8S ribosomal RNA", at positions 35 to 154 of the family's 154-position model. The record is from RNAcentral.